AUUGAACGCUGGCGGCAUGCCUUACACAUGCAAGUUGAACGGUAACAGCACUUCGGUGGCUGACGAGUGGCGAACGGGUGAGUAAUACAUCGGAACGUGCCCGAGAGUGGGGGAUAACGCAGCGAAAGCUGUGCUAAUACCGCAUACGAUCUACGGAUGAAAGCAGGGGAUUCGCAAGGACCUUGCGCUCAUGGAGCGGCCGAUGGCAGAUUAGGUAGUUGGUGGGAUAAAGGCCUACCAAGCCGACGAUCUGUAGCUGGUCUGAGAGGACGACCAGCCACACUGGGACUGAGACACGGCCCAGACUCCUACGGGAGGCAGCAGUGGGGAAUUUUGGACAAUGGGCGCAAGCCUGAUCCAGCCAUGCCGCGUGCGGGAAGAAGGCCU
RNAcentral lists this ribosomal RNA (387 nucleotides) under uncultured bacterium. RNAcentral's name for it is "bacterial SSU rRNA". It matches the Rfam family "Bacterial small subunit ribosomal RNA", at positions 30 to 417 of the family's 1533-position model. The record is from RNAcentral.